This 1416-nucleotide ribosomal RNA is filed under the name Lactiplantibacillus plantarum. RNAcentral's name for it is "Lactobacillus plantarum 16S ribosomal RNA". It matches the Rfam family "Bacterial small subunit ribosomal RNA". The record is from RNAcentral. Lineage: Bacteria; Bacillati; Bacillota; Bacilli; Lactobacillales; Lactobacillaceae.
GAGUGGCGAACUGGUGAGUAACACGUGGGAAACCUGCCCAGAAGCGGGGGAUAACACCUGGAAACAGAUGCUAAUACCGCAUAACAACUUGGACCGCAUGGUCCGAGUUUGAAAGAUGGCUUCGGCUAUCACUUUUGGAUGGUCCCGCGGCGUAUUAGCUAGAUGGUGAGGUAACGGCUCACCAUGGCAAUGAUACGUAGCCGACCUGAGAGGGUAAUCGGCCACAUUGGGACUGAGACACGGCCCAAACUCCUACGGGAGGCAGCAGUAGGGAAUCUUCCACAAUGGACGAAAGUCUGAUGGAGCAACGCCGCGUGAGUGAAGAAGGGUUUCGGCUCGUAAAACUCUGUUGUUAAAGAAGAACAUAUCUGAGAGUAACUGUUCAGGUAUUGACGGUAUUUAACCAGAAAGCCACGGCUAACUACGUGCCAGCAGCCGCGGUAAUACGUAGGUGGCAAGCGUUGUCCGGAUUUAUUGGGCGUAAAGCGAGCGCAGGCGGUUUUUUAAGUCUGAUGUGAAAGCCUUCGGCUCAACCGAAGAAGUGCAUCGGAAACUGGGAAACUUGAGUGCAGAAGAGGACAGUGGAACUCCAUGUGUAGCGGUGAAAUGCGUAGAUAUAUGGAAGAACACCAGUGGCGAAGGCGGCUGUCUGGUCUGUAACUGACGCUGAGGCUCGAAAGUAUGGGUAGCAAACAGGAUUAGAUACCCUGGUAGUCCAUACCGUAAACGAUGAAUGCUAAGUGUUGGAGGGUUUCCGCCCUUCAGUGCUGCAGCUAACGCAUUAAGCAUUCCGCCUGGGGAGUACGGCCGCAAGGCUGAAACUCAAAGGAAUUGACGGGGGCCCGCACAAGCGGUGGAGCAUGUGGUUUAAUUCGAAGCUACGCGAAGAACCUUACCAGGUCUUGACAUACUAUGCAAAUCUAAGAGAUUAGACGUUCCCUUCGGGGACAUGGAUACAGGUGGUGCAUGGUUGUCGUCAGCUCGUGUCGUGAGAUGUUGGGUUAAGUCCCGCAACGAGCGCAACCCUUAUUAUCAGUUGCCAGCAUUAAGUUGGGCACUCUGGUGAGACUGCCGGUGACAAACCGGAGGAAGGUGGGGAUGACGUCAAAUCAUCAUGCCCCUUAUGACCUGGGCUACACACGUGCUACAAUGGAUGGUACAACGAGUUGCGAACUCGCGAGAGUAAGCUAAUCUCUUAAAGCCAUUCUCAGUUCGGAUUGUAGGCUGCAACUCGCCUACAUGAAGUCGGAAUCGCUAGUAAUCGCGGAUCAGCAUGCCGCGGUGAAUACGUUCCCGGGCCUUGUACACACCGCCCGUCACACCAUGAGAGUUUGUAACACCCAAAGUCGGUGGGGUAACCUUUUAGGAACCAGCCGCCUAAGGUGGGACAGAUGAUUAGGGUGAAGUCGUAACAAG